RNAcentral lists this ribosomal RNA (514 nucleotides) under uncultured bacterium. RNAcentral's name for it is "bacterial SSU rRNA". It matches the Rfam family "Bacterial small subunit ribosomal RNA", at positions 994 to 1509 of the family's 1533-position model. The record is from RNAcentral.
CCAAUCUUAGAGAUAAGACGUUCCCUUCGGGGACAGAAUGACAGGUGGUGCAUGGUUGUCGUCAGCUCGUGUCGUGAGAUGUUGGGUUAAGUCCCGCAACGAGCGCAACCCUUAUUAUCAGUUGCCAGCAUUCAGUUGGGCACUCUGGUGAGACUGCCGGUGACAAACCGGAGGAAGGUGGGGAUGACGUCAAAUCAUCAUGCCCCUUAUGACCUGGGCUACACACGUGCUACAAUGGACGGUACAACGAGUCGCGAAGUCGUGAGGCUAAGCUAAUCUCUUAAAGCCGUUCUCAGUUCGGAUUGUAGGCUGCAACUCGCCUACAUGAAGUUGGAAUCGCUAGUAAUCGCGGAUCAGCAUGCCGCGGUGAAUACGUUCCCGGGCCUUGUACACACCGCCCGUCACACCAUGAGAGUUUGUAACACCCAAAGCCGGUGAGAUAACCUUCGGGGGUCAGCCGUCUAAGGUGGGACAGAUGAUUAGGGUGAAGUCGUAACAAGGUAAGCGUACGUGU